AUGGACACCGGCUUGGCCAUGAAUGUGCUGCCGAUGAGCCCCGCCGGCUCGUCGGCUGUGACCACCGGCGAUCUGAGGAGGGGCGCGUGGACGGCGGAGGAGGACCUUCUGCUCGUCGACUACAUCUCCCGGCACGGCGAAGGACGCUGGAACUCGCUCGCUCGAUGCGCAGGCCUGAGGCGCACCGGGAAGAGCUGCCGGCUCCGGUGGCUCAACAACCUCCGCCCCGACGUCCGGCGCGGCCACAUCACGCCGGAGGAGCAACUCCUCAUACUCGACCUGCACUCCCGGUGGGGCAACCGGUGGUCAAAGAUCAUCAAGAACUACUGGCGUACCAGGGUGCAGAAGCACGCCAGGCAGCUCGGAUGCGACGUCAACAGCGACCGCUUCCGGCAGGUCGUCAGGCUCGUUUGGAUGCCGCGCCUCCUCGAGCGCAUCCAGGCGGAAAGCUCCUCCUCCGCCGCUGCUGCCAGCGAGUACGUCGCACUGCCGGUGGCUGGCGAAUCACAGUCGUACCACUGCUUCAAUCACGCGAGCAGCGAGUGUUGGACAGCGGUGGUCGCCAUGAGCCCCGAUACCCCGAGCAUGCCUCGGUCUUCGCUGUCAUCGACGGAGGCGUCACAUGGAGGGCAUUUCCCAGAGUGGGGCUCUGCCGCUGCCACGGCCAACAUUGAGGGUUCGAUGAUGCACUCCUGCAGCGGCGAGGGUGGGGCCGUAGGUGGCGAUCAUCACGUUUUCCCUGGCGACAAACUCAAUGAGAGCUGGUCGGAGCUCCUCGCUGCCAGCGAUGUCCCGGGUUUCGAGUUCGGAAAUUUCGAAGACAGCUUGUGGGCCUAG
RNAcentral lists this ribosomal RNA (837 nucleotides) under Triticum aestivum (bread wheat). RNAcentral describes it as "partial small subunit ribosomal RNA". The record is from RNAcentral. Lineage: Eukaryota; Viridiplantae; Streptophyta; Magnoliopsida; Poales; Poaceae.